GCGGGGUUAGCUCAGUUGGUUAGAGCAUGGUGCUAAUAACGCCACGUUCACAGGUUCAAUCCCUGCUCACUGCA
This 74-nucleotide transfer RNA is filed under the name Pelecanus crispus (Dalmatian pelican). It matches the Rfam family "tRNA". Rfam says of the family: Transfer RNA (tRNA) molecules are approximately 80 nucleotides in length. Their secondary structure includes four short double-helical elements and three loops (D, anti-codon, and T loops). Lineage: Eukaryota; Metazoa; Chordata; Aves; Pelecaniformes; Pelecanidae. The record is from Rfam by way of RNAcentral.